AUCUAAGGCUGCACCACCUGGAACCUGCUGAUCUCAGAAGCUAAGCAUGGUCAGGCCUGGCUAGCACUUCAAAGGGAGAAACCAUGUGUAGGCCUGGUGCGGUAGCUC
RNAcentral lists this ribosomal RNA (108 nucleotides) under Nomascus leucogenys (northern white-cheeked gibbon). Lineage: Eukaryota; Metazoa; Chordata; Mammalia; Primates; Hylobatidae. The record is from RNAcentral.